Molecule: ribosomal RNA, 254 nt
Filed under: uncultured bacterium
Lineage: Bacteria
Description: partial 16S ribosomal RNA
Rfam family: Bacterial small subunit ribosomal RNA
Source: RNAcentral
UACGUAGGGACCAAGCGUUGUUCGGAUUUACUGGGCGUAAAGGGCGCGUAGGCGGCAAUUCAAGUCAUCUGUGAAAUCUCCGGGCUUAACCCGGAACGGUCAGAUGAUACUGCUUUGCUAGAGUGCGGAAGGGGCAAUCGGAAUUCUCGGUGUAGCGGUGAAAUGCGUAGAUAUCGAGAGGAACACCUGAGGUGAAGACGGGUCGCUGGGCCGACACUGACGCUGAGUGCGCGAAAGCCAGGGGAGCAAACGGG